UGAAAAGGAUGGGGGAUUUUUAAGAAAAAUUGCAAUAUUCUCAUUUAUAUUGAAGAAAAAUUGGGGCUUUUUAAGCAAAAACACAAAACUGCAGAAAAAUUGCAAAGAAAAUUGGGGAUUUUUAAGAAAAAUUGCAGAAACCUGCAUACCUUGAUUCAAGAUUGUAGCGGUGGCGACGAUGAGGUUGCGGCGGUGCGUUUAGGUUGUCGCGGCGGUGCAUUUAGGUUGCUCGUUGAAGGUUGCAGCGGCGGGUGCGUUUAGGUUGCGGCGGCGGUGCGUUUAGGGGUUUUGCAGGAGAGAAGGGUAAGUUGAAGCAGCGCAACUUGUAAAAGAGGAUUAAGGUAUUUGGCAACGGGAACUCAGAGUUUUGAGGCGGGACUGAAUUUUUUAUUUAUUUUGGGGUAUACCAACUAUUUAACUCUGUCACUAAAUACCUAUAUCUAAAUACCUCUCUAUACCUAGGACUUCUUCUUUAGUGGUUGUUGGUAUAUUAUAUCUAUACCUACGGCAUUUAUAUGUGUUACUAAAAACAACCGUUGGUAUAUGGCAAAUUUCUUGUAGUGAAUCAACAUGAGUUGAAUAGAAGAGAGAAACAAAUGUAGGUUUUGAGCUUACUUGAAUUUAAUUAAGUCAGUGACAGUUAUUUAGUGAAGUGAAGAGCCAAAUAAUGUAUUCAAGUUAAAGUCGUUUCAAUUCUCCCAAAAAUUACAUUCAAAAAAAAAAACAUCCAAACACAUAUUCUACGAGUAUUUCAAGUGUUUUGUGUUGAAAACUAAUUUCAACAAAAGAUUGAUUCUUUAUAAUUGCUAACUAGUUUUUUUAUCCUAAUUAUAUAUAUGCCAGGAUAUAUUAACACAAUCUCUAUAUGAAGUGGAAGAAGACCUUGGUCGUGCCGACAUACUAUCUCAGGCUCUAAAUAGGAUGCUGGUCGUUUUAGAGUCUAGGAUUUGAGAUAUCUCAUAGAGAUAUAUAUAUCAACGCCAAAAACGCACCAAGCAACCUGACAUUGAUAGGCCUGAUGUUGAGGUGAAAAAACUGAAGUUGAAAAUGAAGCACUAUGAAGAGAAAGUCAAUGUAGAGAGGCAACAAUAUGAGAAAGUGAUAGAGGUAACAUGCUGAAGAUGUGGUAGAGAGACAACAAGCUAAAGAAAUAAUUGAAGAGAAAUGAUACUCACGAUCAUUUUACAAUUAUUUCUAAGGAAACUUGAACUUAUAGUACCUUGAAGUUAUAAGCUAAGCUCUUACCACUAUGGUAACACCUCAAGUUAUAAGCUAUUUUUUUUUCUUUUUAAAUCUAUUUAGC
Molecule: long non-coding RNA, 1303 nt
Filed under: Cicer arietinum (chickpea)
Lineage: Eukaryota; Viridiplantae; Streptophyta; Magnoliopsida; Fabales; Fabaceae
Description: long non-coding RNA (CARI_LNC002513)
Source: RNAcentral